GAAUGUCAGGGCCAAUAAGCAGGAGUGGGUGUGUUGGUGAGUAUGGGGAAGUGGAAGGGUGUUUUGGGAGGGGAAACCAGGAAAGGGGAUAACAUUUGAAAUGUAAAUAAAGAAAAUAUCUAAUUUACAAAAAAAGCAGAAAAUACUACAGUAGAGGACAUCUGGGGCAAUGGGAAGUAGAGCCCCACUCACUUUCUAUGAAUGUGGAGGUAUGCUGGUCACUUUUUAGUGCCCACUCGACACUAGAGAAAGUGAACUGGGAAGAGUCUCAACUGUGCUAUUCUCUCAUUCAGACUGGGCUAUGGGCAUGUCUGUGUGCCCCAUCUUAAAUGCUAAUAGAUAAUGGAGAGCCCAGCCUCAAGUAGGCAAUGCUACCACUAGGCAGUGGCCUCCACUUAAAGAAAGGCUAGUCACAAGUCAGAGAGAGCAAGACAACUUUCUCCCAUGGGUCUUACUGCUUUGAGUUCUGUCCUGGCUUCCCUAAUAAUGAAGUGUGACCCAGAUCUGUGAGAGGAAAUAAAUCCUUUUCACCUCAAGAUGCUUUUGGUCAUGAUAAAAAAACUAAUGAGCAUCUGCAUAUAUGUACAAAGUAUCUUAAGCAUUUUUUUUCUUUUUUGCCUUUUCAUGGCUUAUUUACAUAAACAUUGUACUAAAAUCUUAUGGGAAAAGAUAAUGUAAAAAUCCCCCUCUCCCAAAUCAAUAACUUAGAAAGAUAACUAACAUUAAAACAAGUAGGCAACAUAAAAAUAUACCAUAUUUUAAUCACUUGAUAAAAAACAUGAGGUCACCUAGAAUUUUAGAUGAUCUCUGUUAAAAUAAAGCAUAUAAGUAUUAAUCAUCGAUAUAUGUAUAAUUCAUUUGUACUUACAAUAAAAAGUCGAGAUUUUUAAAUAAUGUUUUAAAGCAAUGAUAUUCCCACCUAUUAAUAUGUAUAACAUACAUGCUGUUAUCACCUGGCAUCUAUGGCAGGUUGUCCUAGAAUCCCACAGGAGUACUAAUAUUCAGGGAUGCUCAAGUCCCUCAUAUAAAAUGAUGCAGUAUUAGCAUAUAACUUGCACACAUCUCUGGGUAAGUACCAGCAGAUUUAUAGUAUUUAGUAUACAGAGAUAUAAAUGCUAUAUAGAUAUUGUCAUACUAGAUUUCUUACAUAAUAACAACACAAAAUUUGAACAUGUUCAACAUAAGGGCACAUGUUAUUAAAGGAAAAAAAAUCUAUCAAGAGGAUAUUACAAUUCUAGACAUUUACUCACAAGCCGAAAGGACAUCCAAUAUCACUGAACUUAACAGAGUGAUAAUGGGAAACUACAAUACCCGACCCUUGCCAAUUGACAGAGCAUCCAGACAAAAAUUAAGUACACUCUGGAGUUAAAUAAUAACAUAAAUCAAAUGGACCUAAAAGAUAUCUACAAAACAUUCUAACAAACACUGGAGAAGGGUUUUUGUUGUUAUUGUUUUAGCUUGUAUCUUUUUCUCAGAAGACUACAGAACUUUCUACAAAAUUCCAUAGUAGGAUACAAAGCAAGUUUCAACAAAAACUAGAAAACAACUAACAUCCUAUAUCCUACUUGACUUCCAUGGCUUAGAGCUCACUAUCCAUACAGCAGAAACAGUACAAAGAGCAGAACGCACACAAAACUGACUCUGAACAAUGUACCAUUGCAUGAAAAAAAAAAAAAGUACGUUAAGGCAGAAAUAAAAAAGGAAGUUAAAAGCCUUUUAAAAAUUGAAUGAAAAUGAAAACAUAACACAUUAAACUAUGUAGGGCAUAAUUAAAGCAAUUAUAAGAGAAAAAUAUGAAACAUUUAAAAAAUUAUUUGUCACACUCAAAUAUAUACCUUAAAGUUUAUUAGGAUACAUGCUCCACUAUGUUCAAAGCAGCCUUACUUAUAAAAGCCAGAAGCUAGAAAGAACCAAGAUGUCCCUCAACAGAGGAAUGGAUACAGAAAAUGUGGUACAUUCACACAAUGGAGUACUACUCAGUUAUUAAAAUCAAUGAAUUUAUGAAAUUCCUAGUCAAAUGGAUGGAUCUGGAGGGCAUCAUCCUGAGUGAGGUAUCCCAAUCACAAAGGAACUCGCACAGUAUGUACUCACUGAUAAGUGGAUAUUAGCCCAGAAACUUAGAAUACCCAAGAUACAAUUUGCAAAACACAUAAAACUCAAGAAGAACGAAGACAAAAAUAUGGACACUUUGCCCCUUAUUAGAAUUGGGAACAAAACACCCAUGGAAGGAGUUACAGAGACAAAGUUUGGAGCUGAGACUAAAGGAUGUACCAUCUAAAGACUGCUGCACCCGGGGAUCCAUCCCAUAAUCAGCCUCCAAACGCAGACACCAUUGCAUACACCAGCAAGAUUUUGCUGAAAGGACCCUGAUAUAGCUGUCUCUUGUGAGGCUAUGCUGGUGCCUGGCAAACACAGAAGUGGAUGCUCACAGUCAGCUAUUGGAUGGAACACAGGGCCCCCAAUGGAGGAGCUAGAGAAAGUACCCAAGGAGCUAAAGGGAUCUGCAACCCUAUAGGUGGAACAACAAUAUGAACUAACCAGUACUCCCAGAGCUCAUAUCUCUAGCUGCAUAUGUAGCAGAAGAUGGCCUAGUCGGCCAUCAUUGGAAAGAGAGGCCCAUUGGUCUUGCAAACUUUAUUUGCCCCAGUAUAGGGGAACGCCAGGGUCAAGAAGUGGGAGGGACGGGUAGGGGAGUUGGUGGGAGGGUUUGGGGGACUUUCGGGAUAGCAUUUGAAAUGUAAAUGAAGAAAAUACCGAAUAAAAAAUUGGAAAAUAAGAUUUAUUUACAGAUGUAGUUUUGAAUUUCUUCAAGUCUUGAAGUUAAAAUUUGUUAUAACAAGAACUCUACAAGUCAAAAGCUGAACAUGUGAAGUCUAAUUCUUCCAAGCUUAAUUUAUCAUGAGACUAUGAAGACCCGUUUCAUAGCACAAGAAGUAACAGGAGACAAGGGACAGGACUUCCUGCUGAUUGAUCUUUCUCUGUGGAGAAUGGCCAUUUUCCUUUCCUUGACUGCCCCACUGGGGCUUCCCUGUUUUAGGGUGAGCAUCCACAUAUGUUUAGAUAAACUAAUUAAUCUGAACAUGGGGAGAGGGAGCUUACAGAAAGUACACAGAAAAAGGAUCCAUUGUUAACUAUGUAUUAAAUAGAUUGUGUAAACUUCAUUUGAAAAACACCUAGGAAGAUGUGACUUACUAGACACAACCCAAAAAUAUAUUGUCUGAUUUUUAAAAAUAAAUUUACUAUCAUCAUCAUCAAUGUAUUCGUGAUACCAUCAGUGUUCAUUGGCAUGCUGUGCCAUGGAGUAUUUGUGGAAGCGGUGUCAAAGGACUAACUGAGGUGCUUAUUGACAUAUCAAAGCAGAUUCUGGUCACCAUGUUCUCCCUGUGUCCCUCUAUCUCACCAGUUACAGGGUCCUCCUGUACCCUGUGCUCUCAUCUGAACUCUCCAGCAUAGUGGCUAGACUGACUGCCAUUCCCCAGAAUGCUCGUCCCUAUAGAAUCCAGCCAUUUCAUCUAUACCACUAUUUUGGCUUUGUGGGCCUCUUGCCCUCUUGGCUGAUGCUCCUGGAGUACCCCCUCCCCACUCACAUGGCCCAGCUCAGAUGUGUUCACUCUGGAUCCUUCCAAACAUCUCUGGCUACGCUCACCCUCAUACCUAUUGUGCUCUCCCUUUUGUCUACAAUAAACCUUCUCCUCCAUCAUACUUAGCCACAUUCAUGCCUCUUUUCUUUUCUUUUUUCUUUUCUCCUUCCUUUCCUUCCCUUUCCUUUUUUUCUCUUUCUUUUUCUUUUAUUCAGAAGUCAGAUAGCAGUUUUAGGGCAUUGGUUCUCUCAUUUCACCAUGGUUAUGGGAAUAAGCACUGUCUAUCAUGCUUGUGGUCAAGCACUGUUACCCACAGAUCCACCUAGCUAACCCUAGUUAUUUAACUUUUUAGUGCUAUAAACAAUAAGCUGGCCCCUAGCCUGAGAACAGAUAUAAGAGAGGACGGACAAACAGACCCACAGACGUGCUGGAACUGCCUGCAAGGACUGUGUCUCCUUCCCCGCUAAUACUGCAGCGGAAGCUUACCAGCUUCAGGGACCAUUUCCAAAGAGCAUUGCACAAUCAUUCAGUCUUUAGAGCCACACAUAAUUGUGCGUGAUUGUAUUAGUUAAACACCUCAGGCCAUGUGUCUCUUCAUUCUGCCUCAGAGGCUUCAAAUUUAAACGUGAUAUCUGCAAUGCUGUAGAUAACCCUAACCUCCUGGGGACUAGAAGCAUGUUGCUAAGGCUUCAGUAACCACCCAAUUCUAAAAGACAGUUGCAGGGUGCCUAAGCACUGAAUCACGUGUGACAGAACUGCACAACCGUUCUCUAAAGGCCCAGAGGAAAGCGCACGCCCCAUCCCUGGUUUUCUCAUCUUUCUCAUCUUAUUACACAGUCUAAUAUCCUUACAAUACUGAAUAUAUAUGAAUGAGGACAUUUAUCAGAGUUCUGCAUGUUAGCCUCACCAUGGCCUCAGAACCUCAUCUUGGCUUUAUUACAUCUAGAAAAAAAUUUUUUUCUUUUGUACCAUCUGACUAAACUGUAGCAAAUUGGAGAAAAAAAGUUUUUCAAAAAUUAAAUGUUCAAAGGCCGAAUCACUUGAAAGGAAAAGGAUUUUCCUCAGUUGUGGCUCCUUUGUGAGUGCUGCUUUUUAAAGCCCUGAGUCACACCCUGACCACACCAGUCACCAAAUCCUUUUAGUUAAAUAUAUGAAGUAUUUAGAAAAGAACAAAGUCAUACAAACCACAAAAUAAUUCAUGCUGAGCACGUCAUACAUAGAUCCAAGGAGUCAUUAUUUUAACUUAUGUAUUUUCAACUUUUAAUGAGAACUGGAAUGAUUUAUUAAGCAGGCAUUUGCUUAAUCAGUGCUUUAACUCAGAAAGCACUUAAAUACUGAUAACAUGAUUUUUUUCAUGAGGUCCCUCAAUUUAUCUCUUGACACACAAAGCAAAGAGCAGUGCAUGUGCAUCUGCUGAAUUUUACUGAUAGAAACUUAAAGAAAUCCUGUGGGUAACACCACUCACUUUUUCUUAGAGUUCUUCUCAUGGAGACUUCCUAAAGAGAAAUCUGGAAAUAAUUAGAAACUAUUAAAGUACGUAAAAAGUCUGCUUGGAAAAAGUCAAUGUGCUAUUCAUCAAAGCAUGUAGUAUAUGGAGGAUAACCUAGGAGGAUGUAAGUGUUGUAGGAGCUGCAGCCACAGCACAGCAAAUGUGGAUGCAUGCUCUGACACCAGCUUCCUGCAACCAGGAGCCUGGGCAGGACACCGACUGUGGGUUCCUUUGCCAAACAGAGCAAAGGAUAACCACCUUAUAUAAUUCCUUACACUUCAAAACGAUAAGAAUACAUGUUGGUAAAAAGAUGCUAGUAACUAAAUUAAUACAAACCAUAAGAGAAGAGUACAGAACUAAUUCUUAAAGUUUAAGAUAUUCAUGGAAAGAAAAGUAUCAAAAUAUAAUAAAAAUCGUUCUGUGGUUUUGGAACAAUAAACAAAUUACAACCGAAAAUGGCAAUAUCUUCUUGAAACUAAAAGUAUGUUUUUGAAGAAAUGCAAAAUUCCACUGGGGAUAGACUGGACGCCAUGCCCCUUAGAGUUUAUAGGGUGCCAUAUGAACUGAAUUACCCUUGACAAGUACCGUCAGACAUCUGUAAUGUGAUCUCAUGUGAAUUUACAACACAUUUUGGACACAUACUAUUGGCAAGAGUUAUUUUUUUCAGAUAGGGAGGGAAGAAAACCAAAUAUUCUUAAUAAUAUGUAGUAGUUAACAUGGAACUUCCAAUAAGAAAUGAAAAGUGUAAAAGUAAAAGCAUUUAAUGAGCUAAAACAAAGAGAAAUAUAAGGCAACCAAAAUAAAGUUCACUUCCUUUUUCUUUCAAUCCCUGUUGCAUAUUCUAAUCUCAGUUUUCAAUGUCUUGUCUAAGUUUAAAGAUAAAUUUUAUGCAAACAAACUACAAAAUGAUACUUGCAUUAAAAACUUAUUUUGGCAGGAAUUAAAUCACAGCAUGGAUGCUAUUUUAUGGCUCUAUCUCACUGUGAGGUAAAGUGCAUAUAAUAUAUAUAGACAGUGAGAAUGCAUACCCUGAACUACUUCUGUUAGUCUCUCACUGCUGCUCAUCAUCUGUGGUAGCUGACAGUAAAACAAAGCAAACGAGCUCUGUGGGCCAUGGUUUUAAAGAUUCAUCGUGAUUGCCUGCCUUGGCAGGAAGAAAGCCCGCAGACUGGUGCUAAUUCUAUGGGGAUCAGCUCCAAUGGAAGAAACGCAUUAAGACCUCCAGAAAAGAACAUGCUUCUUAGAGAGCUAGGCCCAGCUACUCUACAGCACUGUUAACUUUUUUCAUCAGAGGCCUGCCACUUCUGUGGUCAUCCGGCUAAGAGAUGAAAAUCAUGAAUUUCAUCAGUAGUGAAAAAAUGACAUUUUAAGAACCUUUUGAAAUGUGUCCAUCUUUCUUAGUGACCUCAAAACCAAAGUCUGAAAACAUGUGUGGAUCAACAAUGAUCUAUAAUGCUGGACUGAUAGGCUUAGCUUCACACUGAAAUAGUUAACUUACCCAACUGCAUUUGACAGAAUGGAAAGCACUCUCUGGCUUUCUUAAAAGUGCUUUGUAGAAAGUAACAAAACAGAUUAACAGAAAAUCAUAAGACAGUUGUUUUUAAUGUGCAGACCUUUCAAGUUACUUAUAUGAGGCUAUGUAACCUCAUAUAAAACAUUUAAAAUUUUCAGUAUUCAAACACUGAAUUAUUUUUAAAAUUCAAUUUGAAAAUCAACCUAUGAGGCCUGUCUCCUCGGCUGUCCUGCUGACACACAGGAAAGUGUACUACAGAGGCAGCUUACAUUUCCCACUCUUCCUUCCAAUCAAUAUCUGAGGCAAAGUUUCAUCUCUAGGGCCCCUAAUGGCAGGAAUUUCUGGAGCCAGCAAAUGGGUAAUGUUAAACCUACAAUUAGAAAAAGAGGCCAUCAAAGGCACCAGAUCCUAAUGCAACAUUACUCUUUAUUCUCUGAACUGCAGCGAUAGACAGGGCUAAGGGAAAGGGCAUUCGAAACCAAGCCUUGCCACAAAAGCUGCUAAAUAUCUGGAUUCUCCUCCACCUAAAAUAGCCACAGAGCCCCCAUCUCCCUUGAACUCGGGCCCUCGGCACUGGGUACAAUCUUCACGAGCUCUGUAGAGGAGCUCCUCCCAGGGCUGUGCUCCCUGUGUUUUCCUCUCGACUGUAUUCCUGCUUUCUCGUGAACAUACCCCUGAAGAAAGUAAACUGGAAAUCCGAAGAAAUAAGUGGUAAGAAAGACCGUGCAACUGGGAGUCCUGGCUGCACCACAGACUAAGCCACGUGAUGUUACCCACAUCAGCUCUACUCUUCUGAGGAAUGAUCAUCUGCCCACUGCGAAUUAGUCAGGAAGUCAAGCAGAUACGUAACUUACCACAUCUCGAAAGACAACAGCACGAAGGCGAUUGAUAUCAACAUCCUGAAGAAGCCUAUCGGGAUCCUUGAUGGGAGAAAGGUUACCUGGAACGUUUUCUAAAGGAGUCUUGAAAACAAAAGAGAAUUACUGAGCAACAGUAUAUUCUAGAAAAUUAUUUCGGAGCAUCACAGGCUGAGCUUCCCAAACCAUUCCCUGCCUCCUCAGAGGAGUAGGAAUCACUGACAUCAAAGCUAGCAAGGGGCUUAUUUUCUGUUCUUCUCUGCUUGUGAGGCUUUCUCUUCUCUAUGUUGAUUUGCUAUCAACAUAGAUGCCUCUGUGGUCUCAUAAAGGCAGACAGUAUUGUGGUGUUUCACUCCUAAAGGAGGUUGUGAAGCUCCUGUGGAACAUGGUACAGGAGAAAGCCAACAAAACGAAUGCAGAGGCCAUGCCCAGCAAAUGCUACAGCCCAGACUAAAACACUGAUGGAUCUCACACUGAGGUUCCCACCAUCUCCACUGAGUCCAAACUUCACUUCUGCGUCUCACUAGAAAUCAGUCUGAGCAGCACGCCAUCAACAGAGCGCAGCACUUGCGCAGUGCAGGUAAGCAGCUGAGACAAACAGCAGACAGAUGCGAGGCCUAGCGUAUUUACUACCUGGCUCCACACAGAAGGUUGCUAACUACUACCAUCUAAGUCUUCAUUACUCCCAGGUCUCUGGAUCACGAACACUGUCAGAGGAUCUAAUUCUCAGUAACAGCUUGGAUUUGCUUAGUGAAGACUCAAACAGACCCAAUCCUGAAUACAAGGAGGAAAACCUGUACAGAUGUUUGGUAAGAAGCAACUGUGUUCACCACUGAGCCAUUCUAUGGAAGUCUAACAGAAAUCUAAGUAUGAGCAUGGUAUGUUCUAAUUUUAGGACCAGAGGCAUUAACUUCCAAAAUUUAACUAUUAUGUUACACUGCACCAUUACUUCCAUAUAAGGGUUCACUGGCUAUAUUGACCUUUGAUUCUACUGUCAAUAAUAACUGAAAACAAGAAGAGGGACAGAAGUCCAUAUAAAGUAAAUGUGGAAAAAACCAGAUAAGCAUCAUAAGCCAAACAACAAAUAAGUUAGAAGAUGAAGACACAAACAAAAUGGAUUACUUUCAGAGCGCAGAUUUGACACUGAAGCAAGGGUCUGAUUAAAGAGAACUUUCAUGACACAGAUUGGAGGCAAUUUUGCUUUUUUUUCCUUCUAGGUACAUGUGACCUACCUAUUUCAUGAGCAUAUGUUAGUGGUAUUUCCAGUAACAAGUUAUUUAAUCUGAGUCUCAGUAUGUCUGUUUUUUUUUCUAACUAGAUAUUUUCUUUAUUUACAUUUCAAAUGUUAUCCCCUUCCCUAGUUU
Mus musculus (house mouse) is the source of this 8804-nucleotide long non-coding RNA. RefSeq annotates it as predicted gene, 31914. NCBI's taxonomy places the organism in Eukaryota, Metazoa, Chordata, Mammalia, Rodentia, Muridae. The transcript has 7 exons. The record is from RefSeq and is a predicted model, not a curated record.